Molecule: ribosomal RNA, 343 nt
Filed under: uncultured bacterium
Lineage: Bacteria
Description: bacterial SSU rRNA
Rfam family: Bacterial small subunit ribosomal RNA
Source: RNAcentral
AGAGUUUGAUUCUGGCUCAGGAUGAACGCUGGCGGCGUGCCUAACACAUGCAAGUCGAGCGAGAAAUUAAUUAAUGAAUCUUCGGAAGAAUUGAUUAAUGGAAAGCGGCGGACGGGUGAGUAACGCGUGGGCAACCUGCCUUUCACAGAGGGAUAGCCAAAGGAAACUUUGAUUAAAACCUCAUAAAGCUGGAAUAGUGCAUAAUAUACCAGCCAAAGAUUUAUCGGUGAAAGAUGGGCCCGCGUCUGAUUAGCUAGUUGGUGGGGUAACGGCUCACCAAGGCGACGAUCAGUAGCCGACCUGAGAGGGUGAUCGGCCACAUUGGAACUGAGACACGGUCCAA